GAGCUCUAACACGGAGCUCUAACACGGAACUCUAACACGGAACUCUAACACGGAACUCUAGCACCGAGCUCUA
Non-coding RNA from Pangasianodon gigas (Mekong giant catfish), 73 nucleotides. NCBI's taxonomy places the organism in Eukaryota, Metazoa, Chordata, Actinopteri, Siluriformes, Pangasiidae. The record is from the annotation of a GenBank genome assembly.